UACGAAGGGGGCUAGCGUUGUUCGGAAUUACUGGGCGUAAAGGGCGCGUAAGCGGCUUCGCUAGUCGGGCGUGAAAUGCCUGGGCUUAACCCGGGAAUUGCGUUCGAUACUUCGAGGCUAGAGUGUGGGAGAGGUUGGUGGAAUUCCCAGUGUAGAGGUGAAAUUCGUAGAUAUUGGGAAGAACACCGGUGGCGAAGGCGGCCGACUGGACCACAACUGACGCUGAGGCGCGAAAGCGUGGGGAGCAAACAGG
Molecule: ribosomal RNA, 253 nt
Filed under: uncultured bacterium
Lineage: Bacteria
Description: partial 16S ribosomal RNA
Rfam family: Bacterial small subunit ribosomal RNA
Source: RNAcentral